GGCUGGUCCAAUAGUAGUGGGAUAUUGUCAGAACUUAUUAAUGCCACUAAAGUUGGUAUACAAUCUCCCACUGCCAAAUUUGGCUUUUA
Papio anubis (olive baboon) is the source of this 89-nucleotide Y RNA. It matches the Rfam family "Y RNA". Rfam says of the family: Y RNAs are components of the Ro ribonucleoprotein particle (Ro RNP), in association with Ro60 and La proteins. Lineage: Eukaryota; Metazoa; Chordata; Mammalia; Primates; Cercopithecidae. The record is from Ensembl.